AGCUAACGCUGGCGGCAGGCCUAACACAUGCAAGUCGAACGAACCUUUCGGGGUUAGUGGCGGACGGGUGAGUAACACGUGGGAACGUGCCUUUAGGUUCGGAAUAACUCAGGGAAACUUGUGCUAAUACCGAAUGUGCCCUUCGGGGGAAAGAUUUAUCGCCUUUAGAGCGGCCCGCGUCUGAUUAGCUAGUUGGUUGAGGUAAUGGCUCACCAAGGCGACGAUCAGUAGCUGGUCUGAGAGGAUGAUCAGCCACAUUGGGACUGAGACACGGCCCAAACUCCUACGGGAGGCAGCAGUGGGGAAUCUUGCGCAAUGGGCGAAAGCCUGACGCAGCCAUGCCGCGUGAAUGAUGAAGGUCUUAGGAUUGUAAAAUUCUUUCACCGGGGACGAUAAUGACGGUACCCGGAGAAGAAGCCCCGGCUAACUUCGUG
RNAcentral lists this ribosomal RNA (434 nucleotides) under uncultured bacterium. RNAcentral's name for it is "partial 16S ribosomal RNA". It matches the Rfam family "Bacterial small subunit ribosomal RNA", at positions 29 to 507 of the family's 1533-position model. The record is from RNAcentral.